This 253-nucleotide ribosomal RNA is filed under the name uncultured bacterium. RNAcentral describes it as "partial 16S ribosomal RNA". It matches the Rfam family "Bacterial small subunit ribosomal RNA", at positions 524 to 776 of the family's 1533-position model. The record is from RNAcentral.
UACGUAGGCAGCGAGCGUUGUUCGGAAUUACUGGGCGUAAAGAGUGUGUAGGCGGUGCUCUAAGUUCGGUGUGAAAUCUCCCGGCUUAACUGGGAGGGUGCGCCGGAAACUGGAGUGCUCGAGCGUGGGAGAGGAAAGCGGAAUUCCUGGUGUAGCGGUGAAAUGCGUAGAUAUCAGGAGGAACACCUGCGGUGUAGACGGCUUUCUGGACCAUUGCUGACGCUGAGGAGCGAAAGUGUGGGGAGCGAACAGG